AUGCUUAUUGAUAUUGCAAUUGAGUUUGUAAAGGGCUUGAUUUCCUUCUUCACUAUGUAUAGAGAAACUAGCUUUUCAAAAGCAUUGGAAGGUGCAAAAAAAGCAAUGGAGAUGAAUAUUAAUCCAGAGUUCCGCAAGCGUAAAAUUAAGAGAAAAAGGCAAUAUGAUGAGGGCGCAGAUGAUCCAUCUAGUGUUUCACAAUUAGCAGAGGAGUCAUUUAUGGUCAAUUAUUUUUUCAUAUUAUUAAUCAAGCUAUAG
Molecule: ribosomal RNA, 258 nt
Filed under: Triticum aestivum (bread wheat)
Lineage: Eukaryota; Viridiplantae; Streptophyta; Magnoliopsida; Poales; Poaceae
Description: partial small subunit ribosomal RNA
Source: RNAcentral